Molecule: ribosomal RNA, 164 nt
Filed under: uncultured bacterium
Lineage: Bacteria
Description: partial 16S rRNA
Rfam family: Bacterial small subunit ribosomal RNA
Source: RNAcentral
UAGGGAAUCUUCCACAAUGGGCGAAAGCCUGAUGGAGCAACGCCGCGUGUGUGAUGAAGGGUUUCGGCUCGUAAAACACUGUUGUAAGAGAAGAAUGACAUUGAGAGCAACUGUUCAAUGUGUGACGGUAUCUUACCAGAAAGGAACGGCUAAAUGCGUUCCAG